This 659-nucleotide unclassified non-coding RNA is filed under the name uncultured fungus. RNAcentral describes it as "partial contains ITS1, 5.8S rRNA and ITS2". The stretch from base 208 to 357 matches the Rfam family "5.8S ribosomal RNA". Lineage: Eukaryota; Fungi. The record is from RNAcentral.
UUUGAAAAGUUCCAAGGGAGGGGUGGGUUGGGGGCCUCCAAGGGGGGGCACGUGGCCGAUCUGGUUUUCGCAUCGACUCACACCUGUGCCCCUCUGUAGUCCUAUGGUUCGGAAGAGCCCGUCUUCCUUCUGUAGCUCUACGUCUUUACACACACACUGUAGCGAUGUCUCAUGGAAUGUUUUUAUGCGUUUAACGCGAUACAAUACAACUUUCACAACGGAUCUCUUGGCUCUCGCAUCGAUGAAGAACGCAGCGAAAUGCGAUAAGUAAGUGAAUUGCAGAAUUCAGUGAAUCAUCGAAUCUUUGAACGCACCUUGCGCCUUGGUAUUCCUUGGAGCAUGCCUGUUUGAGUAUCAUGAACACCUCAAUUUCAUGGUCUUCCAUGAUGAGCUUGGACUUUGGGGGUUUGCUGGCCCUGCGCCGGCUCCUCUCAAAUGAAUCAGCUUGCAGUGUUGGUGGCAUCACGGGUGUGAUAACUAUCAAGCUCGCGGUCGUCUGCCAGGUAACCCUCAGCGAUGAGGGUCAUUGGAGCUCAUAAACGCUCUCCUCGCGAAGGCAACUUUUGAACGGCGAUCUCAAAUCGGUAAGAUACCCGCUGGAACAAAAGCAUAUCAAUAAGCGGAGGAAAUCUGGGUCUUUACAAGAAAAAAGCAAAAAC